RNAcentral lists this long non-coding RNA (8657 nucleotides) under Homo sapiens (human). Its description in RNAcentral is "long non-coding RNA NONHSAT193997.1". Lineage: Eukaryota; Metazoa; Chordata; Mammalia; Primates; Hominidae. The record is from RNAcentral.
GAAUUGGGGGUUACUAUCUUGGAAUCUAGGGGCACUCCAGGCUCUGGGCUCAGACGGCUGGCUUCUGCCUACCCGAGCCUUAACCUUUCAAGGACCAGAAGGAUUCCAGAGCUCUUGCCCUAGGUCCUGGGGCAGCGAUGACUCACUGCAGCACCCCCUCCCACUUCGCCAAGCUGCCGUCUCCGCCCACCCCCAAACAAUCUCGACAGCGCAUUUCGGGAGCCACGGCUCCGGGCGCUUUGCUGGGGGCUAAAGGGGUUUAUCCCUUUCCUUGAAUCCCAGCAGGCUAGAACUACCCCCUCCCAGUCUUCAGGCUUGCCACGCUCUCCACCCGAUCCUUCCAUUGAAAGGCAGAGAAGGAAGGAUGUGCUUGGGAACUUUAAGACCCACGAACGACAGCGCACUGAUGGAGCAGCCCAGUGUCUGGGGGUAGGUUCUUACUCUGUUGCUCAAGCUGGAGUGCAGUGAUGCAAUCUUGGCUUGCUGUACCCUCGAACUCCUGGGCUCAAGUGAUUGCCCCAUCUCAGCCUCCUGAGCAUCUUGGACCACAGGCAUGCACUACCAUGCCCAGAAAAGCGGUGUCUGAUUUGGCAAGAAUACAUUUCUGCAUUCAAAGUUGAAAUGUGAAGAUAAACCUCACCCACUUGGAAUAGGAUAAAAGAAAAUCCCCUGGAUAGAGGGAAAUAUGCAAACAGUUCUAUUACCAUGUGUAUCUUUUCCUGAGCUGGGUCUUUAUGCAACAAAGGAACUGGAGGUAAUCCAUGCCUUCGGGCACUGUUUCCUAAUAUCACUGUCACCAAGUUGCUCCAUCCAUGUUUUCAUCAAGUGUUUGUGGAUCACAUCUUAUGUCCAAACCAUGGGGUUGACUUCAGGACUGGAGUAUGUGAAGAUUCUGGUAUAUCUGCAAGAAAGUCCUCGAGGUUCAUUCAUUCAGGAAGCCUCUGACCAGCCUUUACCAUGCGCUGAGUGAGAAGCUGAGGAUAAGGAAAGAGCAAGACCCCCAAGAAACCCUGAUGUCUGGCUGAAAGCCGAAGCAUGACGCAACUUUGCUAUAUUUCUCUCCAACAAGGAUUUGUAUAUUUUCGCUUUCUCCUCAAGUAACACCUGGACCUGCUCCUUUCCCUUCAAACGCUGAGGGCUCAGUCUCCAAGUUCCUUUAUGAAACAGGGUGUACCAUCAGAGACGCAGGUAAGAAACCUGAACUGCGUGGCCUCACAUAAACCCCACCACACCUCUGUCCUGGGCUCCUUCCCCGCAACAGGUGUAAAGACAAAAGGCUCAUUGUCCUUUGGAGCCUAUAGGAUAAACAGAAAGAACAUGUCCUUGCCGGUUAAUCUGCCGGUGAUAAAGAGUAUUGUUUUAUCUCCUGCCAUCUCCACGUUCCAAGAGAUGAAUUCUAUUGUGACACAAAGUCUGCUUUGUCCUUCCAACCCACUGAGAUGUUUAAAUUGGCCUCUCAUAUAUUCCUUGGUUGUCACAAUAAGAGCAAUGAGUUGUUAUAAUGUGUUGAGAGGAUCUUUCCCCCAUGACAAGGAGACCAUCAUCUACAGAGAUGCUAUGAUGCUGAGAAAUAAUGUGCUUCUCUUCUGCUCUAAUUUUUUUUAAUUAAGACUUUUAUUUUUUGAGCAGUUAUAGGUUUAGAGAAAAAUUGAAGGGAAAGUACAGAGAGUUCCCAUCUUCUCUCACCCCUUUCAUCUCUGUUUCCAUACGUUUGCUACAAAUGAUGAGCCAACAGCCAUACGUUAUUAACUAAAGUUCACAGUUUACAUUAGGGUUCACUCUUUGCUUGUACAUUCUAUGGGUUUUGUCAAAUAUAUGAUAACCUGUAUCCUCCAUUAUAGUACAAUACAGAAGAAUCUCACUGCCCUAAAAAUCUCCUGUGUUCCUCCUGUGCAUCCCUCCCUCCCAUCCCCUGGGGAACCACUGAUCUUUUUGCUGGCUCCAGUUUUACCUUUUUCAGAAUGUGAGGUAGUUGGGAGUCAUACAGUAUAUGUGUAUAUAUAUAUGUGUAUAUAUAUGUGUAUAUACAUAUAUAUAUACACAUAUAUAUACAUAUAUAUAUACACAUAUAUAUACAUAUAUAUAUAUAUAAAAAAUAGCCUUUUUAGAUGGAUGUCUUUCCCAUAGCAAUAUGCAUUGAACUUUCCUCCAUGACUUUGUGUGGCUCAAUAGUUCAUUUAUUUUUGUUGCUGAAUAGCUUCUGCUUAAUUUUCAAAGUGUUUAAUGUAAGAAAGCGGUAUAGUCCAGGCGCAGUGGCUCAACACCUGUAGUCCCAGCACUCUGGGAGGCGGAGGCGGUGGAUCACUUGAGCCCAGGAGUUUGAGACCAGCCUGGGUAACAUGAUAAAACCUUGUCUCCAUAAAAAAUACAAAAAUUAGCUGGAAAUGGUAGUGUGCGCUUGUAGUCCCAGCUACUCAGGAGGCUGUGGUGGGAGGAUUGCUUAAGCCCAGGAGCUAGAGCCUAUAGUGAGCCAUGAUUGUGCCACCGCACUCCAGCAUGGGUGACAGAGUGAGAUCCUGUCUCAGAAAAAAAAAAAAAACAAAAAAAAAAAAACCCAGAAACAACAACAACAAAACGGCAGUAUAUUUGUCCCCACCCUCAUCUCUUCCUUUAUGGGUAUUUCCCUAAUUGUGAGAGAUUACCUGUGUUUUAAAAGGUGGCUUACUGUAUGCAUUGAGAAAAUUAAAUGACAUUUCAGACCAGUUCCAAGUACCUUUUGCAAAGCUAGAGAAAUAAAAGUGAAUUCUAGUAUCUCAAUCACAGAGUAAAACUAGAGAAGGUCUGUUGGGCUUCAGGCAACAUUGGUGUUCUUGGCAAUUUUACCCAGAAGAAUUUAUAUUCCUAUAAUUAGUAUUUCCUCCAAAAUUAAUGAUCGCCUGAUUGAUUUAUUUCUUUCCUAGCAGCACUGGAGGUCCCACUUACCUAGUUAGUAAUAACAUUUGCUCUUAAUACAUGAGUCAGUUUUCUUUUUUCCUUUUUUCUUUUUCUUUUUUUUUUUACAUUUCCAAAACAGAAUACCCUGCAGGAAGAAUGGGAUGGCAGUGGAGGAGCUCUCACUCACAUAUCAUGUAAUGUGGGAGGCAGGGCUAUGCGAUAGUCAUAAAGGGUGCAGGCUUCAGAAUCAAAGGAGUGAGGUUGGUGUCCCUGCUUACGCCCUACUAGCUGAGUGUCCUUCAGGUCAUUUCUCCUCUCUCAGACUCAGUGGACUGUUUCCUAAAGCACAGCUCAUAACAGGCUGUACGUGGUAAGACCGUCGGGAAGAUGGAAGGAGAUCAGUCAUCCCUAGAGAGCAUUAAGCACAGUCUCAGCCACAAAACACUUCCUCAAACAUGAUGCAAGCCACACAGGGCAUUUGGCCUGCGUAUAAAGGACAUACUGAGGACAGUGUAGAUGCUCAAGAAAUUAGUCCUGAAUGAUCAAGGGGGGAAAGAGAGGGUUAAUCUUAUCAUAUGUGGGCUCUCAGAGAACACAGAGCUAUAGAAGGAAGCUGACUUAAUAAGGGUCAAGCAUGAUAGGGGAGAUUAGGAACCGUGUGCAAUCUAAUGGAACCACAGAUAACACCUUCUAGUACUUUUUCCCUUUGGCCCUGCCCCUGCUGAGACAGGGCCACUGCUAAUAACUCACAUUCUUCUCUUCUCUCCUCUCAAAAAGCCCAUUUCCUGAGCAAGUAUAUGCUUUGGUAAGGUCAUUAGCGGUCAACAUGGUUCCCAAGUUUAGUGAAUACUUUCAGAUAAAACUGAAGGGUACAAAAUCACUCUUUCCUCUCUCCCUCUCCUUGUCCUACCUCUCACAAUAAAACGACUUAUCUACUAAUUACAAAGACCUCAAUAGUGGAAGAAAUCCAUAUCCUACAUAACAUGGAGAGCUAGCUAUAUACCCUUGGCAUCAGUUUUUAUCCUACUUUUACUUUUUACUGACUUUCAUUUACUGAACAAAGCCUCCUUUGCCAAAGGCAGGGUAAAUAAACUCAGUCACAUCCUGUCUUCCUUACAUCUUUGUUUAUCCAUAAACUGUCGAAGAUACAGAUGAAAAUCCACUAAAGCAUGCUUGAAGCGGUUACACGAAGGCCAAAUAAGAUGGGAAUGGAAAUGCCUGAUGUUAAGGGAAGAUACUACCUAAAAUGAUACUGAGCUGGCCAGUGUAAUGACAUGAAAACAAAACAAAAAAAAUAUUUAUUGAAACCUGCUUUGUGCUGGGCAAUGUGCCAGAUGUUGGGGAUAAAAUGGGAAACCAGGUGUUAUUCAAGAAAUCAUCAUCAAAUACGUAGACUUCAGAAAUGAAGAUGCAAAGACAACAGGGGAAACCAUAUAUGUUUAUGGACAGUCAUGCCAAAGUAUGAUUGGAAGACAAAAAGGGCAGGACACUGUCACAGAGCCUUUAGUGGAGAAGGAAAGAAGAGGGCCAGAGAGUAAACUUAGACCCACCUAAAAGUGAAGUUACAUAUGUGGAUGUUUAUAUGAAGAAUAAAGGACACAAGAAAGGAUUCAAGAAAUGAAAAACGGUGGAGGAAGAUAAACAUUUCAAGAUUCAGAUCACGUUGCUGCCCGAAUUCAGACCUGUGAUCUCACUAUGUUGCCUCGGCUGCUCUGAAACUCCUGGCCUCAAGUGAUCCCCCCUGCCUUGGCCUCCACAGUGCUGGAACUAUAGGUAUGAGCCAUUGCACCCAGCCAGGAAAUACAAUUUUCGAAAGACUAAACAAGUUUCUAAAAUCAUGGCACAAUUAAGUAGCAAAAUUAGAAUACAGAGUGGGCUUGUUGGAAAGCGUCAACUAUUAAUCACCAUGCCAUACUUUUGAGGAGCAGACCCCACACUUGUAACCAGGCCCUUCAAUUUAUCAUUCCUGCAAGUCAAGACUUCACCUGUGAACCAGCUGCCCUCUGCCAGCCCAACUUCGUGGAUGUGCAAUCUCUACAGUUGCACAGGGUCCCGUGUUUAGUUUAGUACUUUGCUUUUGCUAUCUUUAAAUACUUAAUAAUUUUUAAACAAGAGAUUCCAUAUUUUUAUUUUGCACUGAGCUUCACAAAUUACAAAGUCAGCGCUAUCCACAGUACCCAAGCUAUAAUUAAUACAAAGCUUUAAAAGCUGCAUGGAGUUUAGCUGAAAUUGCUGCCCAGUCCGAAGCUAAUUUUGGAAGAUGCUGUUCGGUCUUAGGUUAUGAAAAACGGUUCUGCCCUUUUACAACUCCAGCAGGAAGAGCUAAGCUCCCAAUAUUCCGUCCAUUAAUGUCCCUGGUGAGAGUCUUCAAAACUCACGAGCAACAAUGCAAGAAUUUCCCAGCCUUCAACGUGUGACCCACUUCUACAUUAUUGACUCCAAUAAACUGACCAAUUAAAUGUUUUUGUGGUCACAGAACUUGUAAUUAUGUGGUUAAAGAUGUUUCAGAUAUAUCACAUUCUUUCACACUGUGGCAGAAACUAUUGGUUAAAUAACUCAGCCAUGUCUAUCUUCCUUGUCCAAUCUGCACAAAAGAGACUGGAAAAAAGCUGGACACUUGCUUCUUUCCCAUCCUCCUUUGCAGGUAAGCAUCGCUGUGUGACUUAGUUCUGGCCAAUGAGAUGGGAAGGCAGUCUUCUGGGAUGCAAAAAGCUUUUUUCUUUGUUAAUAAAAAGGAGAAUGCCUCUAUAGGAAAAGAUCUUUUUCAAUACCACUCUGUUGCCCAUUUCCUACCUUGAUGUUGUUUGGAGCUACGGCACCCAUCUUGAGAUAAUAAGGUAAAACACAUCACUAGGAAAAACCAACAGCUGAAUUUAGAGUAGACAGGAUGGAAGGGACCUGGUGAUAUUGUGGAGCAAUGAACGAAUGCUGUCGACUGCCUAGUUAACCUAUUACUUGUUUAAAUCUCUGAUAGGCUAUAUUUUUAAAAUUUUGCAACCAGGGUUAUUCUUAGUCUAAGCAUGCAACUUUGAAAAAUGUGAUCCCUUUGACAAGAUAACAAGCCUUCCAUUACCUGCUGCAGGUGACCCAGUUUGCUGGCUGUUGUGGGUAGCUCAGAACAGGACCCUAAGGCACCUUGGCCCUCCCUCUGCUUUAAAACUCAACACCAAACUGUAUUCAUUCUUGUGGUACUGCCUGUGUCUUAACAUGCAUCCCAACAUCUGGCACAGAGCCUGGCACUGGCAACCUCUUAGGAAAUUUGUUAAAUGAACUGAUAGUGUAGCAUUCUGUCACUUUCCUCAGCGAUAAAAUUCUCAUUCUUCAAAAAAUUUUCCUUUUGCAACUGAAUUUAAAAAUGAAAUACCUACCACCUACCACUUCAAGCUUUGCUAGGUGACGGCUUACUUUUUUGGCCAAUUCACUGCUCACUAACAUCUCCAUCAAAGGGAAAAACACACAUUGUAAAAUAAGAAUUCUUCAAAGACAACUUGAAGACAUCUGGGAAUUCUGAAGCCUGAAAAUUCCAUGAGUUCAUAGCAGUGUUCACUAAUUCCACUGAUCUAAAGACAAAAAGGAGAGUCAACUGCGUGCCCAAACUCAUUUCUGAUGAUUUCUUCCAUCCUAACUUUUCUGCCUCUCUGGGGGUGGUUAUGCCUGUGAAAAACAUUGAAGCUGUCAGGAACAGAGUCGGCUUUCAAGAUUGGAAUGUCAAAGUAGAGUCUUCUUUUCCUCAGACCAGAAGGGGCUUGGUUGGGUAAGAGUUUCCAGAUCUAAAUGGAGACAGGACUGGGAUAUAGGAGCUUGUACGGAUAAACAACACAAACACCUUGGGUAAGUGAUACACCAAGAGAGAUCAAAAUAGGGUAGGAACACGAUCCUAAAGCUAUGUGAGAUACGAAGCCAAGAGACCCUGUCUACAGGCUGAUAUGUAUUGCAACCAGAGGCCACCUACACUCAAGAAAAUUCUAAAUGAUGUAAUAGGUUGUGGACACUUUCUUGUAAAAAUGAUCGAUAUUUUUUUCUUAUAGGGAUAAAGCUUAAAAGCAUGGGAUGUAUCUCCAUUAGGAAAUAUGAAGUGAGUUGGUAUAUUACAGGUAGGUUAGACUGAGAUAAUUAUAAAACUGGGCUGAUUUUACAUAGAGAAGAACUUGAUUCCUAAAGGUGUUGAAGGACAAGAUGGGGACAGUUAUUGAAGUGUUCAGGUGCUGUCCUUUGUAGUCUGUAGCCUAUUAAAAUAAUACACAACUGAACACAGACCCAAGGAAAGGGGUUCUACUCAUCGCUAGAAUGUAAACUCUAAGAAGAUAAGGAUUUUGUCUGCUUCAUUUAUUACUGUAUUCCCAGCUCCUAAAAGAGUGUCCAGCACUUAGUAUCUGUUGGUAAGUACCUGUUGAAUUAAUUAACCAGUGAUGAGACUUUGGAAAGCAGCUAGUCCAUCUGUAAGAUUGUUUUCUCAUCUGUGAGAUGAGUCAGUUAGAUUAGAUGUUUUCUAAGCUUAUUCUAGUUUUAAAAUUGUAUAUUUCUAUAAGAAAUGAUAAAUGAAAAAUGUCCAUUCCUUUUUCAUCUCCAUCACCCAUCUCACAUCUUCCUUCAGUGCCUAUGUGAUCUGUUUGAGUAUAACCAGGUGUACAAAAGUACUAAGUGAUAUGAGAUGACUUCAGUAGUCCAGGGACUCUUUCUUCCCCCACUCUGUAAAGAGUUAUUUGCUUAAUUUAAUGUACAUUAUAAAAACAGAAUAAUUGGACAAUUGGAAUAUUGUUAUACACAGUUAAUCAACAGACUCUGUAUAAGUGAUAAGGCCUCAGAGAAGAAGAAUAUUAGAGCUCAACUCCAGCACGAUGAGUCGUUAACACCCUUGGGAAUGUAUAGCUGUUAAACAAAACAAGGAGACCAUAUUGCCCUGUGAAUUCAAAGGGAUCUAAUGGGAAUUUCAGAGUAAAUUUAUUUUAAGGUGAAGAAACCGAAGCACAAAGAAUAACUUGUCCAAGAUCACAGAGUUUAGGAAGUAAGGAAGCAGGGCUUUGAGCUUUGCAUCAAGUGAUGACCCAUAAAUGCAAAUGGAAUACAACAGGAGUGGGUCCCUAAAGUCCCACCCAGAGAAUGCCCUUCUGCCAAAAAAUUUCGGAUUGAAACAGCAAAAACACCUAAGCAACUGAUAGUCAGGUGGUUCUCUGAUUUAAUUGUUUGAAAGCAGUCACUGGAAGCAAAGCUAUGUGACUCAGCUUUGGUGAUGUACUCCAGCUGGAGUCUGACAGGAUCAGUAAAUGUCUAUGCAGUACUAUGUGUGAUAUGCUGGGGACACAAUGCUGACAGAGACCUGAUUCCUGCUCGCAGUUUGUUGGGAAGAUGGACAAGUGAAAGCCAUGACAGUGAGAAAGAGCCGUGACAAGGUACAGCCUUGACUCAUUGUUGAAAGUAGUUGUAGAGCCAGCAGGUUGGAUGCCAAGGAGAAGAGAAGAGGUGGUCAUAGCAACCUAGAACCAUUGAUUCAUGGAGUUUCUAGCAAAAGGUCAUUAGGAACUAAUGGAAGUGUUAGGAGGAAGAUGAGCUCAGUUUUGAUGAUGAUUAUUCACAUGACUUUCAUUGACUUUGAAGAAGUGUCUGUAUUUCUUUGGAGGCCAAGUCACAUGGGAAUAGAGGGCCCUUGUCACCUGCCACAUAUGAAAGAGCUCAAAGAUCAGCUGCUUGGAGAAGAAUGGGAGGAAGACAUGGAGACAGAAGAAGAAUGAUAAGAAGGAAGAAGAAAAGGUGGCAGAGAGAGAAAAAGAAGACAGAGGAAGGGU